AACGAACGCUGGCGGCAUGCCUAACACAUGCAAGUCGAACGAGACCUUCGGGUCUAGUGGCGCACGGGUGCGUAACGCGUGGGAACCUGCCCUUAGGUUCGGAAUAACUCCCCGAAAGGGGUGCUAAUACCGGAUAAUGUCUUCGGACCAAAGAUUUAUCGCCUUUGGAUGGGCCCGCGUUGGAUUAGCUAGUUGGUAGGGUAAAAGCCUACCAAGGCGACGAUCCAUAGCUGGUCUGAGAGGAUGAUCAGCCACACUGGGACUGAGACACGGCCCAGACUCCUACGGGAGGCAGCAGUGGGGAAUAUUGGACGAUGGGCGAAAGCCUGAUCCAGCAAUGCCGGGUGAGUGAUGAAGGCCUUAGGGUUGUAAAGCUCUUUUACCCGGGAUGAUAAUGACAGUACCGGGAGAAUAAGCUCCGGCUAACUCCGUG
Molecule: ribosomal RNA, 433 nt
Filed under: uncultured bacterium
Lineage: Bacteria
Description: partial 16S ribosomal RNA
Rfam family: Bacterial small subunit ribosomal RNA
Source: RNAcentral